Molecule: ribosomal RNA, 254 nt
Filed under: uncultured bacterium
Lineage: Bacteria
Description: partial 16S ribosomal RNA
Rfam family: Bacterial small subunit ribosomal RNA
Source: RNAcentral
UACGUAGGGGGCAAGCGUUGUCCGGAUUUAUUGGGCGUAAAGAGCUCGUAGGCGGUUCGGUAAGUCGGGUGGGAAACCUCCAGGCUCAACCUGGAGAGGCCACCUGAUACUGCUGUGACUCGAGUCCGGUAGGGGAGCGUGGAAUUCCUGGUGUAGCGGUGAAAUGCGCAGAUAUCAGGAGGAACACCGGUGGCGAAGGCGGGUCUCUGGGCCGUAACUGACGCUGAGGAGCGAAAGCGUGGGGAGCGAACAGG